CCUACGGGUGGCAGCAGUGGGGAAUAUUGCACAAUGGGGGAAACCCUGAUGCAGCGACGCCGCGUGAAGGAAGAAGGAUUUCGGUAUGUAAACUUCUAUCAGCAGGGAAGAAAAUGACGGUACCUGACUAAGAAGCACCGGCUAACUACGUGCCAGCAGCCGCGGUAAUACGUAGGGGGCAAGCGUUACCCGGAUUUACUGGGUGUAAAGGGAGCGUAGGCGGGGGUGCAAGUCAGAUGUGAAAGCCUGGGGCUUAACUCCGGGACUGCUUUUGAAACUGUGUUGCUAGAGUGCAGGAGAGGUAAGUGGAAUUCCUAGUGUAGGGGUAAAAUGCGUAGAUAUUAAGAGGAACACCAGUGGCGAAGGCGACUUACUGGACUAUAAAUGACGCUGAGGCUCGAAAGCGUGGGGAGCAAACAGGAUUAGAUACCCCUGUAGUC
RNAcentral lists this ribosomal RNA (440 nucleotides) under uncultured bacterium. RNAcentral describes it as "partial 16S ribosomal RNA". It matches the Rfam family "Bacterial small subunit ribosomal RNA", at positions 338 to 795 of the family's 1533-position model. The record is from RNAcentral.